GCUGAACACCAGAACUGAAUCAAUCAGAUGUGAUAGACAGCCGUCAAUCACCUAAACAGAGAAAGAUUGUUCUUUUCUCUCUCUUCAGACAUCUUUCUUCACAACUUUCAGAAGCAUCUGAAUUCAGACCGACCGGUCAGUCCAUCGUCAUCAGAAACCCAAACUCUCCAGGCUCCGAUAUCACCUUCUCUUGACCAGAAUUUCGGCAUUCCCUGUUGAGACUUUUCCAUCUGUUUCCCACAGUGAACACACACUCACACACUCACACACACACACACACACACACACACACACACACACACACACACACACACACACACACACACACACCGAGCUCUUGUGUGGAAUCUGCUUAGAGGAGCUGACACACACAACUCAACUCAACGCCACUGGAACUCAGUUUCCAUCUUCAGAAGCUGCGGCUCGUGAAACUGAUUCAUGAGUUUUCACAUAAACAACCUUCCGUUUAUCUUUCAUGAUUCAGAUGCUGCUUGAUUGUUUGUAUCGUCACAGAAUGUAACUAUGUUAUCUAAUACUAAUGUUAUAUAUUAUAAAUAAGUGUGUACAACAUUAAGCAUAUACAUACAGUAUAAUACAGUGUGUUAGGUCAAUACUAUUGCAAAUCUCAGCUGUUUGAUUCCGUGUGUCAUCGCUAAAUGUAACUGUAUUAAUCACCCAGCUGUAUUUUGCUAAAUGCAACUGUAAGGAAUGAAGAUAUUAAGAUAUUAUAACAUCAUGAUUUGCUAUAAAACUGUUUUGAAAUGCAUACAUAAAUAUUUUUGACUUUGACUUUUAAUGAUAAAUCUGUAACAUUUUAAAAUAAAAUUUGUUAAAUUUGUUAAAAUGAACUGAAUGCUUCUAAAGCAAUUAUUAAAUUUAGUUAAUUUCGACAUUUACUAAAACAUCAUUAAAAAAAAUAAAUUAAAAAAAAAUAAUAAUAAGAAUAUUAUAAUGUUAUUUAAUUAUUCUAUGGACCUGAGCUAACAUGAACUAACAACGAACAUUCAUUUUUAUUAUCUGACAAACAUAAGAAUAAUAAAUAGCAGAUGUAUUGCUCAUUGUUGGUAAAUGCAUUAACUAAUGGCACUAAUUGUUAACAUUAGUUAAUUACAAUAUUUAACAUUAACUAAUCAUUUAUUAUUCUUAGUUAAUGUUAAUGUCAACUUUUAAGUACAUAUUAUAAUAUAAUGUAAUUAUUUAAUGGAACUAAUUUACCUAAACUAACAAUGAACAGCUGCAUUUGAUUUAUCCAAAAUGAACAAAGAUUAAUAAUAAAAUAAUAAUAAUAAUAAUAAUAAUAACAAUAACAAUAAUAAAUGUAUUGCAUGUUGUUCGUUCGGAAUGAAUUCCAUUUGUUAACAUUAGUUAACUACAUCAGUCUACAUAAAAAUAAAAAAUUGUAAAAAAUCUAAAACUUUUCUCUUUUUUUAUUUAUUUAUUUAUUUAUUUAUUUAUUUAUUUAUUUAUUUAUCUUAGUUAAUGUCAAUGUCGACUUUGAAGUUAAUAUUAUAAUAGUAUGUACUUAUUUAAUGGACCUAACUGACAUAAAUUAAUAAUGAACAGUUGUAUUAUUUUAUUAACUAACAUUAAAAAGAUGAAUAAAUACUAUCGCUGGAUUGCAGAUUAUUAUUCAUAUUCAUGCACUUUAUGGUUGAUCUUGCUGCAGUUUUAAACCUGAUUUUGUGCCUGUUUGUCUAAAUGUGUGUUAGUGUGUGUGUGUGUGUGUGUGUGUGUGUGUGUGUGUGUGUGUGUGUGUGUGUGUGUGUGUGAACUGAUCUGUCGUCUGUCUGUCAGGCGUUUGUUCUGAG
This is a long non-coding RNA of Cyprinus carpio carpio, 1808 nucleotides long. Lineage: Eukaryota; Metazoa; Chordata; Actinopteri; Cypriniformes; Cyprinidae. The record is from Ensembl.